Molecule: long non-coding RNA, 5380 nt
Organism: Gasterosteus aculeatus aculeatus (three-spined stickleback)
Lineage: Eukaryota; Metazoa; Chordata; Actinopteri; Perciformes; Gasterosteidae
Source: Ensembl
ACGCAGCACCCGAUCCAUGAGAUGCUGAAACGUGGCCGGGGCCCCAAACAAGUGUGGUAAAUUGGUACAAACCGUACGGGGUGGAGAAUGCCGUUUUCUCCUUGGACUCUGGCGACAGAGGAAUCUGCCAGUAGCCCUUGGUUAAAUCCAGUGUCGUGAAGAAACGUGCAGUGCCUAGCCGGUCCAGGAGUUCGUCGACCCGGGGCAUUGGGUAAGCAUCGAACCGUGACACGUCAUUCACCCUGCAAUAGUCCACGCAGAACCGUACAGAUCCAUCCUUCUUAGCCACAAGGACGAUGGGGCUGCACCAGGCACUGUUGGACUCUUCUAUUACCCCCAACUCCAACAUACUAGCCAAUUCCCUCCGAACCACUUCUUUCCACUGCUUCAAUUGAUCAAAUGUCUGAAGUGUAUUCCCAUACACAUUCACACACAUAAUAAAACUAGUUUUAUAUGGUCAUCUACACAUACAUAUUAUACAUAAGCUUAUACGCAUGAAUAGGAUAUAUGAACUGUAUCAAUUUGAUUCUUUUGGCUUGUUUUUAUUUACAUACUCUGAAAGAGUUGAGAUCAUGAUUCUCAUUGGAGGAUGAUGCAUGCAUGAAGCGUCAUGAAAGAAGGCACAUUUAAAGAAAUAUAAUCGGAUUAGAGUAACGAGGCACUUAAAAUGAGCCUAUACAUUUUACCAACACGCAUUUAACGUUAACUUGUCUGCGAUACUUUGUUGGGCUUGUAGCCUCGCUACAAGGAGCGGUGUCAGUUUUUGCCAUGACUAUAAUUAAUUUCAUAUCGCACAUUUGCCUGAGGUCUUUACAGUCUGUACACAUGUGACAUCCUCUGUCCCGAAACCCUCAGCACAGGACAAACUCCCCAAACAAUGACAAGCCCUUUAAAGGUUUCUUCCCUUUAUUCUCCCCAUCAGAGAGACACAGGAGUAUCCUCCCCGGGAUGGACAGACUGAGAUGGACUUACUGAAUGAACAACGUAAAAUAUGUAUAAUACGUUCAAUUCAUGCGACAAAUGAUUCAAAUUAACAUCUCAUCAUAUGAGUGGAGAAAAGUGUAUUUGCUGUUAUACUGUUAAAAUAUCCUGGUUUUCGGUGAUCGAUUCUUCCGCAUUCCCUGAUGACUGACAGCUGGUUCAAACUAACGAGACUGUCCCCCUCACACCUGAAACCCAUCAGGGUAUGACGACCUGAAGGCCUUCAUAAGGGUGGGAGACACACCAUUGAGGGGAAGAGAGAGAUGAGCUGCAGGUUCGGCCUGAUGCAAAAGACCAGACCAAUACAGGGACUGAGAAGACGAGGCAUUAUUUAAGUUUUACCGGCGAAGAGCGACCGAAGCCCAAGUUGCAGGCUGGCCUUCAGCGAAACAAACUACCUGGGGUACACCAUUGAAAGGGGUUUGGUCAAGCCCCAGGAAGCCAAGUUGCGGGCCAUACAGGACUGGCCACAGCCCAUCACCAAGAAACAGGUGGUCAUUUUUAGGCCUAGCCGGCUACUAUCCACGUUUUAUUAUGGAUUUUGCUACCAUAGCAGCCCCUCUAACAGAACUGACUCCCUCUGAGGCUCACUGAAUGGUGAGGUGGAACCCUGCGGCGGAGGCGGCCUUCAGCAACCUGAAGCGAGCUCUGUGCUCUGGUCCAGUCCUGGUGGCACCAGACUUCCAGAAGGAAUUAAUCGUCCAGGCGGACGCUUCAGAGGGCUGGCAAGAGCCACAGCAAUGCGGAUGCGCUCUCCAGACGUGACGCCUUCUGCACCUCCUUCACCCCGACGAGGACGUCAGUCUCGAGGGGGGGUGUGUGUGAUGUCACGAGAGGCUGGGUCUUGGAAGGGAGACUUUUCCCUGCACAGUUUGAAGAAUGCCAAGGGGUCCCAGGGCCACUGUCCUACCUGAAAGGCAGGGGAGGAGAUGAGAUGGGGAGCGACUGGAGAAAGCCGCAGGGCAAGAAGAGCGGAGACGUUCAGGGGCAACGGGCAAAGGAGGACUGGGAGGUGAGCGGGAGUUAAAUUAGGUUCCGUCUGCCUGUGCCUCCCCUUGGUGAUUGAAGAGAUGAGCAGAAUAACCAUUUAAUUGUGAAUCUAUUUCUUGUGUGAAUUUAUCAAUGAUAUUGUCUUAAAAAUCACAGAUAGAUCCUGGAAAUGUUGAAUUUUUACAUUUUGUCACCUAGUUUUUUUCGCCCUGUUCACCUAUCCACUAACUCUAUAGUCCUUUCAGAUCCAUUCUCCGCCCCAGUGAACACUUGCGUGCACUUCCCUCACUUGAUACUCCCGCCCUGCUCACCUGCAGCUCGUUCCCACAUUACUCAUUCACUAUUUAGGUUCACUCACUUGCACCUGCCUCUUGCCACAUUGUAUUGUGUCCCUGCCAAGUUCUUCAGCAUGACAUUGCAGUCUGUCUCUGACCUUUUUCCUCUGACCCCUGGCUGCUGUUUUUUUACCUUCAAUUCUCUGCCUGCUCCUUUUCUUUGGUUUGCCUGUGUGACUGAUAUCCUGGUUUGCACCCUGCCUGUCAACCAAGCAAACCCACUUUGACAUAUUGUGCAUUUGGGUCAGACUACAGCUUAAACUUAGGUUUGUUUAUUCAAACACAAAUUUAACAGACCCUUGAUGUUCACACACCUCAUUUUCUUUUGCAUGUUUGUAAAAUGACCAGAAUAUCUUAUCGCUAUUGAAGAAGAAAAAGCAGACAACCACAGUUCGCUGUUGAUUUGACAAAGAAUGUUUGAUGUUUAUAUAAAAAAAAUGGAAAUUGAGCAAUCUGGGAUCCUGUCUACGAGAAGGGUCUCUUUUACCAGCUCCAGCAGACAAAGGCCCCACUCACACACCUUUUGUCUUAUUACCGUAAAUAGCCGGCGGGCUAGCUAACGCCCUGAGGAAGAUCCUCCAUUUGAGUGUCUUCCACUACCAAGGACCCGAUUUAAUGGUGAUAAGAGGUGGUGAAAUGGUUCAAACAUAAUACCUAAGUUAACACUGACAUUUAAAAAAACGAAAACAUUCCACUUGAAUGUUUGUACAGUCAGCUACAGACCGUGGAUCACUUUACCUGUGGACAGAACAGGAUAGCAGCUUUCCUAUUCGAAGUGCAGUGCUCAGAUCAGCUGGCCGGAUACAACAAUGUUAGAAUACAACAACACACAGGAAUACGGUGGAUAUACCGUAAAUCACAGACUAUAGAGCGCACCUGAAUAUAUGCAGCACCACCUAAAUUUAGAACGAAAAAAAGAUGUGCACAUAUAUACGCACCGGCCUAUAAACCGCAAGUGUCCACUCCAGUGACGUGCGGUCGCUGGAGGCAGUGCCUCCCCUUGUGUCAUCAUGAAAUAUGAAAAAAAAAAAUGUAUAUAUAUAUUUGUCCACUGAUCUGUGAUAGAUUAGAUUCAACUUUAUUGUCAUUGCACAAGUACUGAGGCAACGAAAUGCAGUUUAACAUCCAACCAGAGUGCAAAAUAGCAAAAAAUGUGCCAGUGUAAUUAUUAUGUGAAGUGAGUAUGUGAAGUGUAAUUAUUAGAUCAAUCAAUGCGAUCAUUGUUAUAGUUUAAAUGAAUUUGUAUUUUCAGCGACUAGCUGCGCCUCCUUCUCGGAUUGUGCAAUCCCUCAUAAACCAGAUUGAGCUGCUCAUGUUUUUGCCCAAUUUCAGCACGUGCAAUUAAUGUCUCUAUAUGUCACCAAUGUAAUGUUUGUAUCACAUGUCCUCACUCCCCAUAGUCUGGGUCCUGUAUUUCACGCAUGUUAGCUAAUCUGACGUAACGGCGCAGUAAGGAGGCAGCUGGACUGGCAGCUUUCUGCUUGUCACUGUUGUGGAGGCGGAGUCAGUACCUCUGCCUGUCUGAAGGGGGCGUGUGUGAGCACACGGGAUCCUUCCGCUGUUGUUUUUCUUCACGUAUCACAGACUGAUAGCAUAGUUAGCAUGUGCUAACUUAAUCACAGAUUUUCAAUAAUAAUGAAGUUUGCUUUCAAAGAAGUUCAUGUACUCUAUGUAAAGGUGUGUGCAUAUGAAGCUGUUCAAGUCCAGUUCCAGGCCUUCUCCAACCUCCAUCAUAUUGCAGUGCAUGCGGUUCUCCUGCUGUCACUGCUUCCUUCCCUACGUCUCACUCUUGUCUAUUCACGCCUCACUGUUUAUCUUUUACAAUAUCUUUGCUUAUUCUACCCAGUAUCUUUGCCCCCCAACUCCCCAUCAACCCUUCCUUUUGUAUUUAUUGCUGUAUUUAUUUCUGCUGAAAAGCCAGUCUAGUUCAUUUGCUAGUCGACCAGGCAGAGUAGGGCUCCUAUUCUUAGGCUUUUAUUAACAUCAUGGACUGCACAACAGCUACAGAAUCUAUUAUUCAUUAAGUGUAACCAAUAUAAAAUUUAAAACAGUCUGGGCUCUUUUUUUGGUGGAAAUAUGUAAGGUCAGCAUAAUUUUCUGCCUAUUACUAAUAUCUAUAUCAUCUUUUCCUUAGUCAGCUCCAUUUAAAUAUGCAAUCAUUUACAGCUUUUGACUAUAUGUGUGUGCACACCCAAUAUCCAAUAUUCCUCUACUAGACUUUUUAUGCUGACAUCAAUGGCAAGCUAUUAAAGACAGUAUUUCAUUAUUGGUUCUUCUUCCCCAGUGGUUAUUUACAAUCCCAUAUAUACUAAGCACUGAUAUUAAAGGAGACCAUUUUAAUGAGGUGCUAUCUGCCAUGGCAAUAUGUCUUUCUCCGAAUGAGAUUGUGUUUAAAGAUUUUAUCAAGAAAUGGCUGUUCGGCAGGGUUAUGUUUUGUCCAUGAAAUAUGCAUUUCAUAUCUCUUUCAUUUCAUUAACAUAAUUUAAUUUGUGCUUUGCAUUCUGUGCAUAAUACAUAUUUGAUUUACAAAACAAAUAUUUCCAUUAGAAAAUGAAUUUCAUGCGCGCAAAAGGCAGAACUGAAAGAUGUAUUGUAAAGAAGUAAGAGGAGAAAAGAAAACGAAUUGUAUUAUCUUUGACUCAGGGAAAAGAAGAAAUCAUUGGCAAGUAAAAAUACUCUCAAUAGAUUUCUUAUGUGUGUAUGCGUGGGGGGACACUCUGUUAUAUGUGCAUGUUUGUAUAGACAGUAUGUAAAUGGGAAAUAAAAGUCGUUGGUAUAUUGCAUGGAGUCUAGAGCCAUAUAACACAGAUUGAUUUACAUGACCUGCAUAGGGUUUCCCUCCCUGAUGUUAAGUUCACUCAUCAGAGUCACAUGACUUGUUUUGAAUCUUGAUUUUGUGUCCCUCCUUUUGAGAGUGAGACCUGUCUUAAGUGGGCAUUCUGUGGGGAGAAUCGUUGUGUGGGACGCGCACAUCAAGAGGCUUUAAUUUUUCCCAUCUCCAAGGUUUGUGCUCCAUGCAUAGGGCCAUCUUCUAUGCUUCCAGUUAAGAGCUGUUUAGCUCCUCUUCCUUGAGC